This 254-nucleotide ribosomal RNA is filed under the name uncultured bacterium. Its description in RNAcentral is "partial 16S ribosomal RNA". It matches the Rfam family "Bacterial small subunit ribosomal RNA", at positions 524 to 776 of the family's 1533-position model. The record is from RNAcentral.
UACGUAGGUGGCAAGCGUUGUCCGGAUUUAUUGGGUUUAAAGGGCGCGUAGGUGGUGGCUUAAGCGUGCGGUGAAAGCUCGGGGCUCAACUCCGAGUCGGCCGUGCGAACUGGGCUCACUGGAGCAUAGUAGAGGCAGGUGGAAUUCCGGGUGUAGCGGUGGAAUGCGUAGAGAUCCGGAAGAACACCGGUGGCGAAGGCGGCCUGCUGGGCUAUGGCUGACACUGAGGCGCGACAGCGUGGGGAGCAAACAGG